Molecule: ribosomal RNA, 669 nt
Filed under: uncultured bacterium
Lineage: Bacteria
Description: bacterial SSU rRNA
Rfam family: Bacterial small subunit ribosomal RNA
Source: RNAcentral
GCAGUCGACGGUAACGGAAGCAGCUUGCUGCUUCGCUGACGAGUGGCGGACGGGUGAGUAAUGUCUGGGAAACUGCCUGAUGGAGGGGGAUAACUACUGGAAACGGUAGCUAAUACCGCAUAACGUCGCAAGACCAAAGAGGGGGACCUUCGGGCCUCUUGCCAUCGGAUGUGCCCAGAUGGGAUUAGCUAGUAGGUGGGGCAACGGCUCACCUAGGCGACGAUCCCUAGCUGGUCUGAGAGGAUGACCAGCCACACUGGAACUGAGACACGGUCCAGACUCCUACGGGAGGCAGCAGUGGGGAAUAUUGCACAAUGGGCGCAAGCCUGAUGCAGCCAUGCCGCGUGUAUGAAGAAGGCCUUCGGGUUGUAAAGUACUUUCAGCGGGGAGGAAGGGAGUAAAGUUAAUACCUUUGCUCAUUGACGUUACCCGCAGAAGAAGCACCGGCUAACUCCGUGCCAGCAGCCGCGGUAAUACGGAGGGUGCAAGCGUUAAUCGGAAUUACUGGGCGUAAAGCGCACGCAGGCGGUUUGUUAAGUCAGAUGUGAAAUCCCCGGGCUCAACCUGGGAACUGCAUCUGAUACUGGCAAGCUUGAGUCUCGUAGAGGGGGGUAGAAUUCCAGGUGUAGCGGUGAAAUGCGUAGAGAUCUGGAGGAAUACCGGUGGCGA